Molecule: long non-coding RNA, 292 nt
Filed under: Mytilus galloprovincialis (Mediterranean mussel)
Lineage: Eukaryota; Metazoa; Mollusca; Bivalvia; Mytilida; Mytilidae
Source: RNAcentral
AAUAACAUAAAAACUGUUCGUUUCUGUGUGUGUUACAAUUUAACGUUGCGUCGUUUGUUUUCUCUUAUUUUUGAGUGUAAAUUGACAUUGCGAUAAGACGUGUCACGGUACUUGUCUAUCCAAAAUUCAUGUAUUUGGUUUUGAUGUUAUAUUUGUUAUUCUCGUGGGAUUUUGUCUGAUGCUUGGUCCGUUUCUGUGUGUGUUAGUUACAUUGUAGUGUUGUGUUGUUGUUCUCCUCUUAUAUUUAUGCGUUUCCGUCAGUUUUAGUUUGUUACCCCGAUUUUGUUUUUUG